Molecule: ribosomal RNA, 253 nt
Filed under: uncultured bacterium
Lineage: Bacteria
Description: partial 16S ribosomal RNA
Rfam family: Bacterial small subunit ribosomal RNA
Source: RNAcentral
UACAGAGGGUGCGAGCGUUGUCCGGAAUCAUUGGGCGUAAAGGGCGCGUAGGCGGUUUCGUAAGUCGAAUGUGAAAGCCCAGGGCUCAACCUUGGAAGUGCAUCCGAAACUGUGAAACUUGAAUCCUGGAGAGGGUGGUGGAAUUCCCAGUGUAGAGGUGAAAUUCGUAGAUAUUGGGAGGAACACCGGUGGCGAAGGCGACCACCUGGACAGAGAUUGACGCUGAGGCGCGAGAGCGUGGGGAGCAAACAGG